Long non-coding RNA from Gymnogyps californianus (California condor), 725 nucleotides. RefSeq lists it as uncharacterized. Lineage: Eukaryota; Metazoa; Chordata; Aves; Accipitriformes; Cathartidae. The record is from RefSeq and is a predicted model, not a curated record. The transcript is spliced from 3 exons.
GGCCGGGCCGGGCUGCCGUUGGGGCAGGGCCUCGUAGCUGGGGCGGGCUCCGUGUCGCCGUGAGUGUAGCGCCAGGGGCACCUCGGCCAGCUAAUUUGUAGGGAGGUUCCGUGUGUCUGUCCGUACGAACUGGGUUCGCCUACUUACUGGUUGAUGUGGUCGUCAUGUUUUGUUUCAGGCGAUGUUCGCACAGGAGCAGGAAGUUAGAACGUGUAAAACCAAUUUUUCAGCUGCAUAGAGGUUUUUUCUCCUAAAGCCUUUUGAAACAGAUGAUCUCAUUGUGGACUACCAAAAAACUGCUACCUGUAAAAAAAGAUUUGAGAGUCGACAGUCUAGGGAGGUGAGUCCACGUGAUGGUGACUGGCUUCUGGAGAAACAAAUAAGGAAAGAAGAAAAGAACACUUCUAAACAACACUAAUACAAAGGCAGCAUGGAGGUAAAAAAAAUGAAGAUGAUGUGCCUGAGAAACUCCAACUAAAAACCUAAGUCUAAAUUACUUUUCUGUACAGGGAUCAGAGUAACAUAGUAUAGUCCCAGCUUAAAUGUAGGUCAGCUGGAUUUGUGUUCAGAUAUUUAUGGGUAAACAAGGUAAAUUAAUAAUAUGGUUGUUUGCUUAUCAAGUUGUUUGCCUCAGGAUGUAAAAUAGAACAUUUGUUUAUGUAACACCCAAAACAUUUUGGGGAAGAAAAGCUCCCCUAAUAAACAUCCUAUGUGUAGGAUUACAU